GAUGAACGCUGGCGGCGUGCCUAAUACAUGCAAGUCGAGCGAACAGACGAGGAGCUUGCUCCUCUGACGUUAGCGGCGGACGGGUGAGUAACACGUGGAUAACCUACCUAUAAGACUGGGAUAACUUCGGGAAACCGGAGCUAAUACCGGAUAAUAUAUUGAACCGCAUGGUUCAAUAGUGAAAGACGGUUUUGCUGACACUUAUAGAUGGAUCCGCGUCGCAUUAGCUAGUUGGUAAGGUAACGGCUUACCAAGGCGACGAUGCGUAGCCGACCUGAGAGGGUGAUCGGCCACACUGGAACUGAGACACGGUCCAGACUCCUACGGGAGGCAGCAGUAGGGAAUCUUCCGCAAUGGGCGAAAGCCUGACGGAGCAACGCCGCGUGAGUGAUGAAGGUCUUCGGAUCGUAAAACUCUGUUAUUAGGGAAGAACAAAUGUGUAAGUAACUAUGCACGUCUUGACGGUACCUAAUCAGAAAGCCACGGCUAACUACGUG
This 497-nucleotide ribosomal RNA is filed under the name uncultured bacterium. RNAcentral's name for it is "partial 16S ribosomal RNA". It matches the Rfam family "Bacterial small subunit ribosomal RNA", at positions 28 to 507 of the family's 1533-position model. The record is from RNAcentral.